CCUACGGGUGGCUGCAGUCGAGAAUCAUUCACAAUGGGGGAAACCCUGAUGGUGCGACGCCGCGUGGGGGAAUGAAGGUCUUCGGAUUGUAAACCCCUGUCAUGUGGGAGCAAAUUAAAAAGAUAGUACCACAAGAGGAAGAGACGGCUAACUCUGUGCCAGCAGCCGCGGUAAUACAGAGGUCUCAAGCGUUGUUCGGAAUCACUGGGCGUAAAGGGUGCGAAGGCUGUUUCGUAAGUCGUGUGUGAAAGGCGCGGGCUCAACCCGCGGACGGCACAUGAUACUGCGAGACUAGAGUAAUGGAGGGGGAACCGGAAUUCUCGGUGUAGCAGUGAAAUGCGUAGAGAUCGAGAGGAACACUCGUGGCGAAGGCGGGUUCCUGGACAUUAACUGACGCUGAGGCACGAAGGCCAGGGGAGCGAAAGGGAUUAGAUACCCCAGUAGUC
Molecule: ribosomal RNA, 446 nt
Filed under: uncultured bacterium
Lineage: Bacteria
Description: partial 16S ribosomal RNA
Rfam family: Bacterial small subunit ribosomal RNA
Source: RNAcentral